GAAAUAAAAACAAGCCCUGCCGUGUCAGGUGUUUUCAGUGUUCUCCUGAUGGUCGCCUAGGAACAAACAUUAUCUUCUAGGGAAGCCGCAGGGACAAGAGAAUGUUUAAGCUCAUCUUAAUGACCCGAGUCUUAGAAGCUUCUCCAUUGUGAGGAAGCAGGGUGUGUUCUUUCUAGAGCCUCCAGACCAUGCCAGGUUAUGGUAAAAAAAUGCAAAGAUUUCAGUGUGAUGGCUUCUUAACCCAUUUGCUCAUUCACAGAAGGGAGUAAUCCCUGAGCUGACACAAAUCACUCAAGUCAGGCCAAGCCUUCAUGCUUCUUAACCAAAAAAGGGGAGCGGGGGGGCAGGGAGGUCCCCUUGCAGGACAGUGAGAGAGGAGAUGUUUAGUGAUGUCCAACAAGGCAUCUCACUUGCAAGAUUCUGGCCUCUUUCAGGAGGUGGGAUGGGGCAUGUGUCUUGUAGUGGCUGCUUUUUCUGAAAGUCAAACCACAUCAAGGUACAUGCCUUCCUUUUUAUUUCCUUCUGCUUGAAAUAUCCUGUAACUCCAAGACAACUGCCUCUCUCUCUCUCUCUCUCUCUCUCUCUCUCUCUCUCUCUCUCUCUCUCAUUCUCUCCCCCUUCGCACCCCCCUCCGUGUGUGUGUGUGUGUGCGCACACGAACAUGUAUAAAGCUUUCUUUUAGAUCUGCACUCAAGCCUGAAUGUUAGAGGUUCAAAACCACUUUCUAUUUCAAUAUUUUUGCUAUUGCUCAAAUACAAAACUUCAAGUGUGGAAAACCAGGGAAUGGUUUUGGAGUGUAAUUAUUUUUUUUCUGUGUGUGCAUGCUAACAGCCUCCACAGUCCAUUCCUUCUUCCCGGAGAGCACAUGCAGACACACAUAUGCUUUAAGUCCAGCCUUCCAUGAAUUCUAGAAAAAGACUAAAAUAGAUUCAGUACCUCCCUCUAAGAUGAUAAUGAUGACUCUGGCACUCAUAGCAGGAACAUAUAGUCAAAGGAGUAAAUUCCACAUAAGAGUUAGUUGUGCACAAGGGUAGAAUCAAGGGAUUCUGGAGGAGUCAUUACUUAGAUGUUGAGAUAGAGUCUCCUUAUUGGGCCCAGGCUAUCUUUGAACUUGAAGCAAUCAUCUUUUUCUUAUUAAUCACAUAUUUAUUUAUUCAUUGAAAUUCAUGCAUGUAUAAAUGUAUUUUGAUCAUAUGCGCCCCUACUACUUUCAACUCCCUACGGACCUCCUAUUCUGUCUUCUUCCUGGCUUCAUGCCCUGUCACCACCCCCACCACCCCAUCCCCAAAUCCAAUUAUUGUUGUCUACAUGUGCAGGCAUAUGGGUUCAUCCAGUAGGGCAUGGGCAACCUACCAGCAAACAAAAGUGACUCUCCCUCAACAACCAUUUAUAAUCCUUCUUUGCUAGGCUCAGAGUUACUGUCCAUGCUGGAAUUCUGACUGGCUUGAUCCUGUGCACAGCGGCGGUGCAGUGAUGUUUAUCAGCCAUGUCAUGUCUAAAGGGCAGCAUUAUCAUAGCUCCCCUCCACAUUCUUUGGCUCUUUCACUCUCUCUGGGCCUUCUGCUGCUGACCUGUGGAUGAGGGACAUUGAUGUAGAUGACCCACCUAUGGUUGGACCCUCACGUCUCAUCAGAUCCUUGGGUGCUAGGAUUAUAGGUGCACACCACCACAUCCUGCUCAGUGAUACUUAGUGUUUUGAGAUUUGUCAUUUGGAACCAAUAGUCUUGGCACCAUCCAACUUUAACAUAAGGCAGGUGGUUAAAGUUUGUGGGAAAAAAUACAGGAUAGCCUGUCCCAUUUAGAUUUCAGGUUAAACUAUGACUGGCUCUCAGUAUAAUUAUGUUCCCUAAAAUACUUAGGGUUUAUUUGUAUAGAAAAUUAUCCUAUCCUUGUCUCGAACUUGGCUUUCACUAGAGUCUUAUAUUUUCUGUUUGCUAAAUAUGGCAACUUUACCUGAGGUAAAGAAUAGUAACGUUUGUAGCUAACUGAAUGAGAGCAGAGCCAUUCAUCCCGAGAUGGUAAAAACCUAAUGCCAAUUGUAAAGUUUUCCCAGCAUGCCUGGCUUCUUCCCACCUGUACUCUACAUCCUCUAAGAAGCCCAGUCUGUGUAAUGUCAGGAUGUUGGUAUGGCCUUUGAGUUGCUAUCCAAGGGUGUAUCCCAUUAGCUUUCACUGAUGGCGUUCCAGUUGCAAUGAUUCUAAGCACAUACAACUUGUUGAAAGUGGAUGCUGGGUUGAGUCUCUGUUUGCAAGCAUUUCAUGAGUUCAGGGAAGGCUUGCAUAUCUCCAACUGGUGACAACUUACAGAACCAUGAGCGAAAAGAAUAAGAUGUUAAAUAUUCCAUGAGGAUUGGAGAUGAACGAAGAGUCAAUAGAGGAGGGUCCAAGUAUGGAGGGAUUAGAGAGGUUCUUAUAGACGAUGAUAUUAGCUCACAGCAUUCCAUGUUGAGCAGUCAGAACCAUCAAUGAGACAGAAAUCAGAAUGUGUGCCCAAGAAAGUUUCCAUUCCAACUUGAGAGGCAAUGAUCCAUUCAUUCAUUUGUGUAUUCAGCGGAUACAUGUCAAACUUUGAAGCACGAAUUAGUGAAAAAUUGUAAAUGUGUAAAGAGCUAUGAAGAAGAGACUCAUGGUGCUAUGAGGUGUAUGAAAAAUGCAGUGGGGGUGGAGACCACCAAUGAUUGAGUUACAUUGUGAAUGGAGAACAGAAUUAAUGAGAUGACAAGAGAGUAGUGAGAGCCUUAGGGGAGGAGAAUACAGAGCAGAUGAACUUGUCUGCAUCAGGAAGACCCUAGUGCUGACAGGACCAGGAGCAUCCAAGACCAGUUGUGACUGAAACAUAGGGAUUGUGGUGGAAUGGUAGAUUGGAAGUGUUAAAGCUCUGAACACUUUGACACCUGCUGGGAAUUUUAUCUUAAUUUUCAGGGCACGGUGGAGCCCUGUAUUUAAAUGGGGAGGAAGAGCAUCGUGUGGGCAGGGAAGGUUAUGAUGUAGGAAGGUUAAAGGGACAUAGACAAGAAGAGGGAGAGAAGGCUCUGAGGGUUCCCUGAAACGGUGCCUUCUUGUUCCCAGAACAAUAUUGCAAGGAGAAAUGCUAGAAAGGCAUUGGGGGUAGGCAUCUAAACAGGACCAAUAAGGGAAAGAGGGGGGACCCAGGAUGAAACUGUUACUUUCCCCUUCUAUGUAGCUUGGUCUUCUGUCUUUCCCAGAUGUUCAACUCUUUUGUCUUUCCUGGAUGUUCUUUGUUCUGCCAAGGUUCACACUCACUGAUCUUACACUGACCACCAGCAUCCCUGUUAUGGAAAAGUAGCCAAAUAUCUGAGAGUCAAGUAGGUAGGGAGCAACAGUAAUGACAGUUAUUGGGAAAGCAACACACUGUUUGUCAUCUCUCCAUACAAAAGAAGUAGCUCCAUGGGGACUCUGAUCAGUAUGUAGGUGGACCCUGGGGCUUAGCUUAGCACAGUAAGCAGGAUUUCACAAGCUACAGUUCUGGGUUCGGCUGGAGGGUGGUAAGGCAUGGAGCAGGGAACAGCCUGAGUCCAGCAGCACCCACAGGGCUAUGCCAACCUCAGCAGGCCAGGGGAAAGAAGGCAGGCUGGCUCACGUGCCAGCUACCCUGUGUCCUUCAUAACAGUCCAAGCUCUGGAGACAGAGUCAGAGGGAGAAGAUCAGCUUCUGAAUCUAGACUGCUCCUGUUGAGAUUGUCAUCACUGGCCCCCUUUCUGCCAAGUGUAUUUGUAAUAAUGGGCGGCAUAGUUCUAGAACUCUUCACCUACUUGUGGCAAUUCUCCUGCCCACACUUACUCCACAGAGGCUCCUCUGCCUUUGCUGGCUGCAUUCACAAAAGGAUUGCUCAAAAGUGAGGGUUCUGGUGUAUGUCGGGGGCAGGUGUUUGUGAGGCGAUGCCCAGGGGCUUUGCCAUGAUUUGUGGUAUCAAGAAAUAGGAAUCUACUUACGUGGCAUUGUAUCUUUGGCGCAAACUUAGAGAAGUCUCCCGCUCCCAAUGGACAGCAUACAUCUAUGGAAUGAUAGCCACACUUAACUACCUAAAACAAACAAGUGGACACGACCAGCACAGCUGAGAUCUUGAAGGAACCUACUCAUCUUAUAGGCCUCCGAUGACGUAGCUCUGAGGUAAGGAAACAGUGGGGUAUUUAACUUCAGCAGGGGUAGACUACGAGAGACACUUUUCCCGAGUAUCAUGUCUGUGUGCAGCAGGACUCCAGGGAACAGGCCUUCAAAGUUGCCAACCAUCUUCAUGAUCAUGUAAUCAACAAGGCACUGGGAUGGAGACCAUUCACCCUUCAGGUUGCUGACCUCACUAUGAUUUACAUCACUAGAGAUGCUUCAGAACCCGAAGGAGGAAGGCAAUACUUUAAGCAGGAGGCAGAGAAAUUAGAAGACCAGAGAAGGGAAUGGGUGAGAAUCAGGGUGGGAGGUUGGGUGUUCUAAACAAAGAUGGCAACACAAAGGCUAGCUGUGGAUAAAUGGCACCAGAGCAUUGCUUCAAUGGGCACAAGAUUUCAGAUUCCUUUACUCAUGUGUUUUCCCUGCUUCAGAAGGGUGGGGAAACCCACUCAGCUCGAGUAAGUCCAUCUCUGCUACAGAAGGCUUUGGGACCAUGGUUGGGGAUGGUCUUAGCAGUGACCAGCUUUAGGUAGAGUCUGUUUACUUCUUGGAGGGCAAUGCAUGAAGAGAGGAGGAGAAGGUGCAUGCUCAGAGUUCCACAGUUGAAUCUACAGAAGGGGGGGCAUUCUAAGAGUGAAUCAAUCAAUGUAAGUCUUGAAAGAGUGAAGGUGAAAAGGCCUUAGCCUUGUUAGGCAGGGUGAUUCAUGGACCUAAUCACGGUGCAUGGCACACUAAGGCAGGAGGAGGUGAAUUGUAUGAUAACUGACUUGUUAGUGAGUCCACCCCUCCGGUCUCUGUGGAAAGCAGAGUCAUUGUUGUGCCGCAAUAGUUACAGGUGGCCGGGGCUGAAGCCCAGCUCACCAAGGACACUUUAGUCUUUAUCCUAGAGUCUGGUCUCCCUGGCUUCCACCGCUCUCGCCUCCCCCGUGUCACCCAGCCAUUUCUGCAGCUGUUGUUGGUAAGGGGGAUGAUAAACACACGCAUAGUUGAAGAAUGACUAGAUCACGUAGUUCUGCAUUCGUGCCGCUGCUCUGUAAACUGGGCUGGAGUAUUGAGAAACAGCCACGAGCCGCAGGACACAUCUUUGCCCUUGGUUCGUAUAUAUUGAUAUAUUUUCCCAAGCUCCUCCUUGGUGGUCCCAGGACAGUAGUCCUUUCACAGGGCUGCCCAUGGCUGAGCUAGCCUGCCAAGCCAAUGACUCCUCCCUCUCUGCUUUCUCCCUUGGAUUCCCACCCUAGGGGUAGGGGUGGGGGUGAGAGUGGGGGAGUUUGCCUUUCUUUUGUCUAAGGUGAAAAGUCAGGGUUUCCACAUCUCAAAGGAGAACUUAUUACGUGGUGAAAACAAGUUAAUCCUGCUCUUCGCCUCCAUUGAUAAAUCUUUUUACUUUUAAAAGAUGGCGUCUCAUAGAUAUCAGGCUAACCUCAGACACGCUGUGUUUAGUAUUGAUCCUCCGGCCUUCCCAAUCUCCGCUGGUCUGUGCCACCAAGCCAUUCUUCAAUCUCAUGCUUCUUUCGCCUGUCAGUGUUUCUUCUAGGAAAAGACAGACUGAGUGGAAGACACAAUGCCAUAGGCUCCAUGCUCUCAAAACCUCCAGAAACCUCAACAAAACAACUGUUUCCUCCUCUUGCUUUACUUGGGCUGUGUCAUGUCUCUUACUAUGUGCACAUCUGCAUUGGUCCUGGUUUGCAAUGAGGGUUUCUUCUCUCAUUGGACUAGGCAAGCUGUGCCUGAUGAAUUUACUUCAAGGUCAUUAACUAGAGAAAGACAGAGUCCCAUUUUUCACAAAUAGCAGUGGGCACGUCUUUCUUUCCUCCCUAACAUCAGGUUGAUUGGUUUCUUGCGGCCUUCUCCACUGUCCUUGGCUUACACAGCCCCUAGAAAUAUGUGACCAAGGUUCAGAGCCAAAAAAGUGAGACUACAGAGGAUUCUCUGUGUUCAAGAAAGAAUAGCUGGGAGCUGCCCUGGGAGGUCCUCUUCCUGUUACUGGCUUCAUUCUGGUCAUACUUCAAUGCACACUCCCUCAAGGGGGCAAAGAACACUGUUCAUCCCAUACACACAUUGGAUUGGUUUAACUCCUCCUAGUCCCUUGUAACUGCCUGCUCUCUUUUCCCUUCUCUCCAGGUUCAACUAAUUGCUUCUCUCUGGACCCCGAAACCAUUGGCCUGUGCAUGCCUGAGCCUGCCUCCUCCAGCAGCAGCAAGGUCUAGGGAGUGUUGGUCACUAGGCUCUAUUUCUUUUUAUAGAUUAUUAGCAGAUCUUCAAAGCAACCAUGGGCUUUGUGUUAGCCAAUGGGAAGAAGAAGAGUGUGUCUUUUUAACUGUUGCCUCGUUAACCUGGUUCCUUGAAGGUAAACAAGGAUAAAGUAGAGAUAUGUUAGGACCCUUGUAAUAUUGAGAAUCACAUAGGUAUAUGAUUACCUACAUCCAUAUUUUUGCAUAUUUAAACCUAGUAGAUGUAUUUUUGUUGUUUGAUCUGACUUUUUCUUUUUUUUAAAUUUUUUGAGAUAGUCCUUAGGCUAACCUCAAAAUUGCUAGAUAGUUGAGGAAUGUUUCAAAUUUCUGAUGCUAGUAUUCUAAGUGAGAGCCACCAUACCCAGACCUAACAGAUACAUUCUUGAAAAUUAUAUUUAUAUAUAUACACAUAUAUAUAUACACACACAUACAUACACACACAUAUAUAUGUAAAUGUAUACACACACAUAUUAAAAAACAGGGUUGUAAAUAAAUAGUGCCUCUCUCUGCUUAGCUUUUACCAAAACAAGUCCAUACCAAGGGAUCGAGUUUGCUUAUGGAGAGGGCAGUCUAGAUCGUGACAAAUGCCAUACACACGCACACACAAUGAGUGCCUCGGAGGCCAAGGCUUGUGACCGUAUCUCUGCCGACUCCCUCAUAAUGUUCAUUACACGGUCCCACCCUGGGCUGAACUCCAUGCUCCCUUUCCAGCUGGCAGAGUUCAUCCUGUUAGUAGUGACUCAGUAUGACUUCAUUUAUUUCAAGGCUUUGAGUCAAUAGCAAGACCCACAUUCCCCAAGGCAUUAUUUGCACAACUGGAGGCAGAAAUGAACACCCAGUAACACGGAGGGCACCUGUAUCCUUAGAGAAUCACCUGGUCUGGGCUUGCUCUUUGGGUAACACCUCUAUCCACCCAAACAGCCUCCUUUCCACACGGGCCAGGAUGAACAAACAAGAAUCUGAAGUGCUCUGUGUUCUUUUGUGUGUGACUGGGUCUUUCCUCUCUAGAACUUUCCGAGUUGCCCGCACAAAGGGCCCUUCCCUAUCCAGAGUUGCUAUACCCCUUUCUCAUGGUGCCACUUAGCCAAAUGCUACGAUGAGAAAACUGUGGGCUCUUUUGUCUGUGUUCUUUGUUUCAGAGCAAAACCAAACUGUUGUAUUGAGAGCCAGUUGCAAGAGUCCCUCUCAGCAUGAAGCCCAGGAACCAGCUUAGAACUGAAGUCAUUGUUUGCUCUGAGCGUCACUGAAACACUUCAAGUUUGCACGUAUUCUCAUCUCAAAGUUUUACGGGAGUAAUAAAGGUGGUUUAUUACCACAGAUAUGCUUUCAGACUGAUAAUAUGGCCCCUGAUCCAUCUGACCCUGUGGACGGGGAGUGUCCCUACAUCUGUUCUGUAGGGUCACCCAGGCUGUGCCCUUAGAUUCUUACUCAGACUUGGAAACGAUGCCCCAGUCACGAGUCACACAUCAGCCCUUGGUACAAGGUUAAUGCAGCGGGGAUCACAAACUCUGGGUCCUUCCAACAGGCAAGGGUGUGACAUUAUGGCUAAACCUCACUUUAUUGCAGCCGUCUACAGUGCUUCCUGCUCUCCAGGAGGAUGAAUGCCUGGGAGUUCCCCCUGAAAAGUUCCGUGAUCCAUGCCUCAGUCCAUGUGCCCCUUGAGCCCGCUGUGUUUAAAGAACCAUCCUCCAAGUAGGUAGCGCUGAGCUGAGCACGGCCCAUUGCAGCAUAGGGAGAACCACAGCACAUCUGUCCAGACGGGCAGACCCCAUGCUUCCCGAACAUCAAAUGCCAGCGAGAAUGUAGAAGACAAAGGGGUCUUUGUGCAUGGUUGGAUGGAAGGAAACGGGUGUCGCCAUUAUGAAAAAAAAAUGGUAUGCAGAUGCUUCAAAAAAUUGAAAACAGAGUUAGCAUAUGAUAGAGUAAUCCUACUACUGGAUAUCUGUCCAAAGGAAGUGAACUUAGCAUGUCAAAAGUUAUCUGUAUCCUCCUUGUCCCUGCUGCACUGUUGGCAACAGAAAGAUCUGGAAACAACUGGUAUAUUUGCUGAUAAAUGACGUGACGAGGAAUACACA
This 8430-nucleotide small RNA is filed under the name Rattus norvegicus (Norway rat). Its description in RNAcentral is "uncharacterized LOC102548345". The record is from RNAcentral. Lineage: Eukaryota; Metazoa; Chordata; Mammalia; Rodentia; Muridae.